Long non-coding RNA from Vigna radiata var. radiata (mung bean), 280 nucleotides. RefSeq lists it as uncharacterized. The record is from RefSeq and is a predicted model, not a curated record. The transcript has 2 exons. NCBI's taxonomy places the organism in Eukaryota, Viridiplantae, Streptophyta, Magnoliopsida, Fabales, Fabaceae.
AACCUAUAGGUGUUUCUAGCCUAUUCCAAGUCAUAAACGAGCUGUUGUGGUCUGUUCUUGAGCUGUAGCACUGUCCAGAGGCAGGAGAGGCCCCUUUGGAGCAAAUACUAGAUGGCCCAGAUAUCCCAUACACUGCUGAUGCUGCAGAGUAGUGUAGCUUAGUUAUUACUUAUUGUAUAUAACUUAGUCUUCCUUCCUUUUCUUCUUUUUGAAAGACUCUAUUCCUCUUAUAUUUUGGGUGACAGUAUCUUAUAAUACUUCAUCAUACUUCUACUCUUAA